GAGCUGGGGAGGGAGGGAGGGAGUGAGCGAGCGGGAGAGAGCAUUGAGCAGGCAAGUUGCUCGGAAGACGCUGCACUGACAAGAACGCAGGAUAAGGUUGAAAGAGGCCACGGACUCAUGAGGCACCAUCCUCUGAGUUCUUGACAGUACAGCAUCUAACAAGCAACAACGACAGAGGAGCUGAAUCGCUUCGAUUUUCAUUCUCAUCACCUGCUGUUCGAAUUCAUUCAUGGCUC
Marchantia polymorpha subsp. ruderalis is the source of this 236-nucleotide non-coding RNA. Lineage: Eukaryota; Viridiplantae; Streptophyta; Marchantiopsida; Marchantiales; Marchantiaceae. The record is from the annotation of a GenBank genome assembly.